Molecule: ribosomal RNA, 223 nt
Filed under: Amblyomma maculatum (Gulf Coast tick)
Lineage: Eukaryota; Metazoa; Arthropoda; Arachnida; Ixodida; Ixodidae
Description: partial large subunit ribosomal RNA
Source: RNAcentral
GGAAUUUCAUAAAAUUUCUUUUUUAAUUUUAAAAAUUGAAAUUAAUUUUAUAUGUGAAGAAACAAUAAUAAAAAUUAAGGACAAGAAGACCCUAAGAAUUUUAAAAAUUUCAAUAUAAUAUUAUAUUAUAUUGAAAUUUUUUAAUUGGGGCGAUUAUUAAAUAUUAAAAACUUUAAUUUUUUUUAAAAAAGAACCAAUAUUAUUGGUUAUUUGAGAAAAUACU